Rhea pennata is the source of this 70-nucleotide non-coding RNA. The record is from the annotation of a RefSeq genome assembly. Lineage: Eukaryota; Metazoa; Chordata; Aves; Rheiformes; Rheidae.
GAGACGUUAGUAAACACAUUACAUGGUCUUGUCAAGGCCAAAUCACAGGUUAUAAACCCUGUACAUCUCA